This 3923-nucleotide long non-coding RNA is filed under the name Lathyrus oleraceus (garden pea). RNAcentral describes it as "Pisum sativum (pea) long non-coding RNA (PSAT_LNC036744)". Lineage: Eukaryota; Viridiplantae; Streptophyta; Magnoliopsida; Fabales; Fabaceae. The record is from RNAcentral.
UACAAUUCACCACCUCCACCAUCACCAACUUAUGUGUACAAAUCUCCUCCUCCUCCAACACCAGUUUAUAAAUAUAAAUCACCACCUCCACCAUCACCAACAUAUGUGUACAAGUCUCCUCCUCCUCCAACACCAGUUUACAAGUAUAAGUCACCACCUCCACCAUCACCAACAUAUGUGUACAAGUCUCCUCCUCCUCCAACACCAGUUUACAAGUAUAAGUCACCACCUCCACCAUCACCAACAUAUGUGUACAAGUCUCCUCCUCCUCCAACACCGGUAUACAAACCUCCAUACUACUACAAUUCACCUCCUCCUCCAACACCAGUUUACAAAUACAAAUCACCACCUCCUCCAUCACCAACUUACGUGUACAAGUCUCCUCCUCCACCAACACCAGUAUACAAACCCCCAUACUACUAUAACUCACCUCCUCCUCCAACACCAGUUUACAAGUAUAAUUCACCACCUCCACCAUCACCAACUUACGUGUACAAGUCUCCUCCUCCUCCCGCACCAGUUUAUAAGUACAACUCACCACCUCCUCCAACACCAGUAUACAAAUACAACUCACCACCUCCUCCAUCACCAGUUUACAAGUACAACUCACCACCUCCUCCAUCACCAGUUUACGUCUACAAGUCACCACCCCCACCAACACCUGUAUACAAACCCCCAUACUACUACAACUCACCUCCUCCUCCAACACCAGUGUACAAGUACAAUUCACCACCUCCACCGUCACCAACUUACGUGUACAAGUCACCACCCCCACCAUCACCUGUAUACAAACCCCCAUACUACUACAACUCACCUCCUCCUCCAACACCAGUGUACAAGUACAAUUCACCUCCUCCUCCAACACCGGUGUACAAAUAUAAUUCACCUCCUCCUCCAACUUACUACUACAAUUCGCCACCACCUCCGGUAAAAUCUCCUCCUCCACCAACACCUUACUACUACCAAUCUCCACCACCACCCAAGUACACUCCACCUCCAUACUACUAUAGCUCUCCUCCUCCCCCUGUUGUGUAUCCCCCACAUCCAUAUCACCACUCAUUGAUUGUGAAGGUAGUGGGUAAAGUCUACAGCUACAAGUGCUAUAACUGGGAGUAUCCUGAAAAGUCUCAUGACAAGAAACACCUCAAAGGUAUAUUACAUUCACUUCUUAAUCCUUAUAUUUUAAUCUCUCUUAUCGACAUCAAUAUUUUUUUAUAGUCAAAUUCUUGCUGGUUAGUUUUACAUUUUUAGAUGAGUUUCAUACGCUCUUUAUAUUAAGUUUAGUUAUUCAUUUUUCAAUCAACUACUACAAAGUAUUUUAUCUUCUGCAUGUACCCUUUACAAAUGAGAACUUACAUAUAUUAAUAAAAACUAACUUUUUUUCACUCAUUAAAGUAAAACAACUUAAUUCCUAAAUAACAUGCAAAUUUUGCUUAGUUCCGACUGCAAGAUGUAAUAAAGGAAAUCAAUAUGAUAGAUAAUAUGACUCGAUAUUUGGAAUUGGAUAAUGCUACAUAAUUACUAUGAUCUACAACACGGAUAGCUAAACUUUACCUUUUAGUAAAACCUUGUAAUGUUUAAUUCUGUCAUUACUUAUAUUUGACUUUACUGUGAGGCUUACGAAUUUCAACUGAUUAUGGGAUAGGUGCUGUUGUUGAGGUCAAAUGCAAAGCUGGAAGGAACAUCAUCAAGGCGUACGGUAAAACUAAGAACAAUGGAAAGUACGCCAUCACAAUUCCAAACUUUAACUAUGUGAAAUAUGGUCCCACAGUGUGCAAAGCCAAACUACAUGCUCCACCUAAAGGCUCUCCAUUCAACAUCCCAACUAAGCUCAAUGAGGGAACCGACUUGUGGGUAAAAUCUAAAGACAAGUAUGAAGUUGUGCUCAAGGCAAAGCCAUUCGCCUAUGCUUCUAAGAAGCAUUAUGAAGAAUGUGAAAAGCCUAAGCCUUCACCAACUCCUUACUACUACAAGUCACCUCCUCCUCCUACACCAACUUACAUAUACAAGUCACCACCCCCACCAUCACCAACUUAUGUGUACAAGUCACCACCUCCACCAUCACCUAUAUACAAACCCCCAUAUUACUACAACUCACCUCCUCCUCCAACACCAGUUUACAAGUACAAUUCACCACCUCCACCAUCACCAACUUACGUGUACAAGUCACCACCUCCACCAUCACCUGCAUACAAACCCCCAUACUACUAUAACUCACCUCCUCCUCCAACACCGGUUUACAAGUACAACUCACCACCUCCACCGUCACCAACAUACGUGUAUAAAUCACCACCACCACCAUCACCUAUAUACAAACCCCCGUACUACUACAAUUCACCUCCUCCUCCAACACCAGUUUACAAGUACAAUUCACCACCUCCACCAUCACCAACUUAUGUGUACAAGUCACCACCCCCACCAUCACCGGUAUACAAACCCCCGUACUACUACAACUCACCUCCUCCCCCAACACCAGUUUACAAAUACAACUCACCUCCUCCACCGUCACCAACAUACGUGUACAAGUCACCACCCCCACAUCACCGGUAUACAAACCCCCGUACUACUACAACUCACCUCCUCCCCCAACACCAGUUUACAAAUACAACUCACCUCCUCCACCGUCACCAACAUACGUGUACAAGUCACCACCCCCACCAUCACCUGUGUACAAACCCCCAUACUACUACAACUCACCUCCUCCUCCAACCCCAGUUUACAAGUACAAUUCACCACCCCCACCGUCACCAACAUAUGUCUACAAGUCUCCACCCCCGCCAUCACCUGCGUACAAACCCCCAUACUAUUACAACUCACCUCCUCCACCAACGCCUGUUUAUAAGUACAAUUCUCCACCUCCACCGUCACCAACUUAUGUGUACAAGUCACCACCCCCACCAUCACCUGUAUACAAACCCCCAUACUACUAUAACUCGCCUCCUCCUCCAACACCAGUUUACAAAUACAGUUCACCUCCUCCUCCAACACCGGUUUAUAAGUACAAUUCACCUCCUCCACCAUCACCAACUUACGUGUACAAGUCACCACCCCCACCAUCACCGGUAUACAAACCCCCAUACUACUACAAUUCACCUCCUCCACCAUCACCAACUUACAAGUACAAUUCACCACCUCCGCCAUCACCAACUUAUGUGUAUAAGUCACCACCUCCACCAUCACCAACUUAUGUGUAUAAGUCACCACCUCCACCAUCACCUGUGUACAAACCCCCGUACUACUACAACUCACCUCCUCCUCCAACACCAGUUUACAAGUACAAUUCACCUCCUCCACCAACACCAGUUUACAAGUACAAUUCACCUCCUCCACCAACACCUAUAUACAAACCUCCAUACUACUACAAUUCACCUCCUCCUCCAACCCCAGUUUACAAGUACAACUCACCUCCUCCUCCAACACCGGUUUACAAAUACAACUCCCCUCCUCCUCCAACACCGGUUUACAAGUACAACUCCCCUCCUCCUCCUCCAAAACACCGGUUUAUCAAGACAACUCACUCCUCCUCCAACACCGGUUUACAAAUACAAUCACCCCUCCUCACCAUCAUCCGUGAUUUACAAGACAACUCACCUCCUCCUCCAUCACCUGUUACAAGUACAACUCACCCCUCCUCCUACACCGGUUUACAAGACAACACCCUCCCCUCCUCCUCUCAACCACCGUUACAAAUACAAACUCCCCUCCUCCUCCAUCACCGGUUUACAAGUACAACUCCCCUCCUCCUCCAUCACCGGUUUACAAGUACAACUCCCCCCCUCCUCCAACACCGGUUUACAAGUACAACUCCCCUCCUCCUCCAACACCGGUUUACAAGUACAACUCCCCACCUCCUCCAACACCGGUUUACAAGUACAAGUCACCACCUCCACCGUCACCAACUUACGAGUACAAAUCUCCUCCUC